RNAcentral lists this ribosomal RNA (308 nucleotides) under uncultured bacterium. RNAcentral describes it as "bacterial SSU rRNA". It matches the Rfam family "Bacterial small subunit ribosomal RNA", at positions 28 to 334 of the family's 1533-position model. The record is from RNAcentral.
GACGAACGCUGGCGGCGUGCCUAACACAUGCAAGUCGAACGGACGAGGGGAGCUUGCUCCCUGAGUUAGUGGCGAACGGGUGAGUAACGCGUGAGAAACCUGCCUUUCAGUGGGGGACAACAGUUGGAAACGACUGCUAAUACCGCAUAAUGUACUUUGGGGGCAUCCCCGAGGUACCAAAGCUUAAUGUGCUGAAAGAUGGUCUCGCGUCUGAUUAGCUAGAUGGCGGGGUAACGGCCCACCAUGGCGACGAUCAGUAGCCGGUCUGAGAGGAUGAACGGCCACAUUGGGGCUGAGAUACGGCCCAG